GAAUUUUGGGCAAUGGGGGCAACCCUGAUCCAGCCAUCCCGCGUGUGCGAUGAAGGCCUUUGGGUUGUAAAGCACUUUUGGCUGGGAAGAAAAGGCUCUGGCUAAUACCUGGCGCUGCUGACGGUAGCUGCAGAAUCAGCACCGGCGUACUACGUGCCAGCGGCCGGGGUAAUACGUAGGGUGCAAGCGUUAAUCGGAAUUACUGGGCGUAAAGCGUGCGCAGGCGGUUCGGCAAGAAGGAUGUGAAAUCCCAGGGCUUAACCGUGGAACUGCAUUCUUAACUGCCGGGCUAGAGUAUGUCAGAGGGGGGUACAAUUCCGCGUGUAGCAGUGAAAUGCGUAGAGAUGCGGAGGAAUACCGAUGCCGAAGGCAGCCCCCUGGGAUAAUACUGACGCUCAUGCACGAAAGCGUGGGGAGCAAAC
Molecule: ribosomal RNA, 422 nt
Filed under: uncultured bacterium
Lineage: Bacteria
Description: partial 16S ribosomal RNA
Rfam family: Bacterial small subunit ribosomal RNA
Source: RNAcentral